UGAGGAAUAUUGGGCAAUGCCCGCAAGGGUGACCCAGCAACGCCGCGUGGAGGAUGAAUGUCGUAAGAUUGUAAACUCCUGUUAGAGGGGAAGAAUAGUACCGGUUGGACCGGUAUAUGACUGUACCCUCAAAGAAAGCCCCGGCUAACUACGUGCCAGCAGCCGCGGUAAUACGUAGGGGGCAAGCGUUGUCCGGAUUUACUGGGUGUAAAGGGCGCGCAGGCGGGAUAAAAAGUCAGUGGUGAAAUCCUACAGCUUAACUGUAGAACUGCCUUUGAUACUUUUAUUCUUGAGUUCGGGAGAGAGAGACGGAAUUCCAGGUGUAGUGGUGAAAUACGUAGAUAUCUGGAAGAACACCAGUUGCGAAGGCGGUCUCUUGGUCCGACACUGACGCUGAGGCGCGAAAGCGUGGGGAGCAAACA
RNAcentral lists this ribosomal RNA (422 nucleotides) under uncultured bacterium. Its description in RNAcentral is "bacterial SSU rRNA". It matches the Rfam family "Bacterial small subunit ribosomal RNA", at positions 355 to 774 of the family's 1533-position model. The record is from RNAcentral.